This 515-nucleotide unclassified non-coding RNA is filed under the name Coniochaeta decumbens. RNAcentral describes it as "sequence contains 18S rRNA gene, ITS1, 5.8S rRNA gene, ITS2, 28S rRNA gene". The stretch from base 222 to 375 matches the Rfam family "5.8S ribosomal RNA". The record is from RNAcentral. Lineage: Eukaryota; Fungi; Ascomycota; Sordariomycetes; Coniochaetales; Coniochaetaceae.
GGGAAGUAAAAGUCGUAACAAGGUCUCCGUUGGUGAACCAGCGGAGGGAUCAUUACAGAGUUCUAAAAGACUCCCAAAACCAUUGUGAACGUACCCGUCAGCGUUGCCUCGGCGGGCGGCCCCUCCCUGGGGCCGCUGCCUCCCUCGGGGGGUGCCCGCCGGCGUACCAAAACUCUUUUGUAUUUUAGUGGCCUCUCUGAGAAAACAAGCAAAUAAGUUAAAACUUUCAACAACGGAUCUCUUGGUUCUGGCAUCGAUGAAGAACGCAGCGAAAUGCGAUAAGUAAUGUGAAUUGCAGAAUUCAGUGAAUCAUCGAAUCUUUGAACGCACAUUGCGCCCGCCAGUACUCUGGCGGGCAUGCCUGUUCGAGCGUCAUUUCAACCCUCAAGCCCUGCUUGGUGUUGGGGCCCUACGGCUGCCGUAGGCCCUGAAAGCUAGUGGCGGGCUCGCUAUAACUCCGAGCGUAGUAGUAAAAUAUCUCGCUAGGGAGGUGUCGCGGGUUCCGGCCGUGAAAG